Molecule: unclassified non-coding RNA, 342 nt
Filed under: soil metagenome
Description: partial contains 5.8S ribosomal RNA, internal transcribed spacer 2, and large subunit ribosomal RNA
Rfam family: 5.8S ribosomal RNA (bases 1-121)
Source: RNAcentral
GAUGAAGAACGUAGCGAAAUGCGAUAAGUAAUGCGAAUUGCAGAAUUUCCGUGAGUCAUCGAAUCUUUGAACGCACAUUGCGCCCUUUGGUAUUCCAAAGGGCAUGCCUGUUCGAGCGUCAUUUGUACCCUCAAGCUUUGCUUGGUGUUGGGCGUCUUGUCUCUAGCUUUGCUGGAGACUCGCCUUAAAGUAAUUGGCAGCCGGCCUACUGGUUUCGGAGCGCAGCACAAGUCGCACUCUCUAUCAGCAAAGGUCUAGCAUCCAUUAAGCCUUUUUUUCAACUUUUGACCUCGGAUCAGGUAGGGAUACCCGCUGAACUUAAGCAUAUCAAUAAGCGGAGGA